RNAcentral lists this ribosomal RNA (460 nucleotides) under uncultured bacterium. Its description in RNAcentral is "partial 16S ribosomal RNA". It matches the Rfam family "Bacterial small subunit ribosomal RNA", at positions 338 to 795 of the family's 1533-position model. The record is from RNAcentral.
CCUACGGGUGGCAGCAGUGAGGAAUAUUGGUCAAUGGACGAGAGUCUGAACCAGCCAAGUAGCGUGAAGGAUGACUGCCCUAUGGGUUGUAAACUUCUUUUAUAUGGGAAUAAAAUGUUCCACGUGUGGGAUUUUGUAUGUACCAUAUGAAUAAGGAUCGGCUAACUCCGUGCCAGCAGCGGCGGUAAUACGGUGGAUCCGAGCGUUAUCCGGAUUUAUUGGGUUUAAAGGGAGCGUAGGUGGAUUGUUAAGUCAGUUGUGAAAGUUUGCGGCUCAACCGUAAAAUUGCAGUUGAAACUGGCAGUCUUGAGUACAGUAGAGGUGGGCGGAAUUCGUGGUGUAGCGGUGAAAUGCUUAGAUAUCACGAAGAACUCCGAUUGCGAAGGCAGCUCACUGGACUGCAACUGACACUGAGGCGCGAAAGCGUGGGGAGCAAACAGGAUUAGAUACCCUUGUAGUC